AACGAACGCUGGCGGCAUGCCUAACACAUGCAAGUCGAACGAGACCUUCGGUCUAGUGGCGCACGGGUGCGUAACGCGUGGGAGUCUGCCCUUCGGUUCGGAACAACAGUUAGAAAUGACUGCUAAUACCGGAUAAUGACGUAAGUCCAAAGAUUUAUCGCCGAAGGAUGAGCCCGCGUAAGAUUAGGUAGUUGGUGGGGUAAUGGCCUACCAAGCCGACGAUCUUUAGCUGGUCUGAGAGGAUGAUCAGCCACACUGGGACUGAGACACGGCCCAGACUCCUACGGGAGGCAGCAGUGGGGAAUAUUGGACAAUGGGCGAAAGCCUGAUCCAGCAAUGCCGCGUGAGUGAGGAAGGCCUUCGGGUCGUAAGACUCUGUCGGGUGGAAAGAAAUAGUAUAGGUGCUAAUACCAUCUAUGCUUGACGGUACCGCCAAAGGAAGCACCGGCUAACUCCGUGCCAGCAGCCGCCGGUAAUCUGUAGUCGU
RNAcentral lists this ribosomal RNA (487 nucleotides) under uncultured bacterium. RNAcentral's name for it is "bacterial SSU rRNA". It matches the Rfam family "Bacterial small subunit ribosomal RNA", at positions 29 to 533 of the family's 1533-position model. The record is from RNAcentral.